CACGGAGUUAGCCGAUGCUUAUUCAUACGGUACAUGCAGGGAGUCACACGUGACUCUUGUUAUUCCCGUAUAAAAGAAGUUUACAAUCCAUAAGACAGUCAUCCUUCACGCGACUUGGCUGGUUCAGGCUCUCGCCCAUUGACCAAUAUUCCUCACUGCUACCUCCCGUAGGAGUCUGGUCCGUGUCUCAGUACCAGUGUGGGGGAUAAACCUCUCAGUUCCCCUACCCAUCGUUGCCUUGGUGAGCCGUUACCCACCAACAAGCUAAUGGGACGCAUGCCUAUCCUAUACCGAAUUUCUUUCCUCACUUCUUGAUGCCAAGCUGUGAGCAUACGCAGUAUUAGUCCGUCUUUCGACGGGUUAUCCUCCUGUAUAGGGCAAGUUGCAUACGCGUUACGCACCCGUGCGCCGGUCGCCACCCAGAUAGCAAGCUACCUUGUGCUCGCCCCUCGACUUGCAUGUGUUAAGCCUAUCGCUAGCGUUCAU
Molecule: ribosomal RNA, 486 nt
Filed under: uncultured Porphyromonas sp.
Lineage: Bacteria; Pseudomonadati; Bacteroidota; Bacteroidia; Bacteroidales; Porphyromonadaceae
Description: partial 16S ribosomal RNA
Source: RNAcentral